RNAcentral lists this ribosomal RNA (534 nucleotides) under Triticum aestivum (bread wheat). RNAcentral describes it as "partial small subunit ribosomal RNA". Lineage: Eukaryota; Viridiplantae; Streptophyta; Magnoliopsida; Poales; Poaceae. The record is from RNAcentral.
AUGGAGGAAUGGAGCAGGAAGAGGAACGCGGGAGCCGAGUUGGGGGCCAAAAUUACCACACCUCAAAAAAUCUCUGAAACUGCAGAGGAAAACAUGAACUCACUUGCAAUUGUGCCGGCAGUUUUGAUGGAUGUGAGUCCACCACCGCACAGGGACCUGAAGAGAACCAAGAAGACGGAGGAGGACUCCGAAGGGCUAACAAAGGUGAAUGUUGAUGCUGCAGUGGGGAGGGGAAGGAGACAUGGUUCUGUUGCGGCUAUAUCGAGGGACUCCACUGGCCAGUUUCUAGGAGCAUCGGCUGUGGUCUUUGGAGGCAUAUCGGAUCCCGCGACUCUCGAAUGCAUGGCAAUCAGGGAGGCGCUGGCCCUUGCUAAUGAUCUGAAUGUGUCAAACAUACAAGUGGCGUCGGACUCAAAGGUGGUGGUUGAGGAUAUCCGAGAGAAUAACUCAACAUCGUAUGGAGCUCGAAUAUCGAGGCUCACAAGCUCGCGAAGCAUGCUUUAUCCCUUCCGGCUGGCCGACAUGUUUGGUUAG